Molecule: non-coding RNA, 27 nt
Filed under: Homo sapiens (human)
Lineage: Eukaryota; Metazoa; Chordata; Mammalia; Primates; Hominidae
Source: RNAcentral
UGAAAAAACAAAUGGAGACUAUAGAUU